Molecule: ribosomal RNA, 253 nt
Filed under: uncultured bacterium
Lineage: Bacteria
Description: partial 16S ribosomal RNA
Rfam family: Bacterial small subunit ribosomal RNA
Source: RNAcentral
UACGUAGGGUGCGAGCGUUGUCCGGAAUUAUUGGGCGUAAAGAGCUCGUAGGCGGUCUGUCGCGUCUGCUGUGAAAACCCGAGGCUCAACCUCGGGCCUGCAGUGGGUACGGGCAGACUAGAGUGCGGUAGGGGAGAAUGGAAUUCCUGGUGUAGCGGUGGAAUGCGCAGAUAUCAGGAGGAACACCGAUGGCGAAGGCAGUUCUCUGGGCCGUAACUGACGCUGAGGAGCGAAAGCGUGGGGAGCGAACAGG